CCCGUGGGAAUCUGGGAGGACCAUCUUCCAAGGCUAAGUACUACCUGAUGACCGAUAGUGAACGAGUACCGUGAGGAAGGUGAAAGUACCCGAAAGGGGGUGAAAAGACCCUGAACCCGUGUGUCUACGAACAGUAGGAGCCGAAAGGCGACUGCGUACCUUUUGCAUAAUGAGUCAGCGAGUUGUGCGCUGCAGCAAGGCUAAGCCGUCAGGUGGAGCCGCAGGGAAACCGAGUCUGAAUAGGGCGAAUAGUUGCAGCGUACAGACCCGAAUCCAAGUGAUCUAUCCAUGGUCAGGGUGAAGCGUGGGUAACACUGCGUGGAGGCCCGAACUCACUGAAGUUGAAAAUUCAGGGGAUGAACUGUGGAUGGGGUGAAAGGCCAAUCAAACUUGGGAAUAGCUGGUUCUCCCCGAAAGGCAUUGACGUGCCGCCUUGUGUAGCACCGUCGGG
This 451-nucleotide ribosomal RNA is filed under the name uncultured bacterium. RNAcentral describes it as "bacterial LSU rRNA". It matches the Rfam family "Bacterial large subunit ribosomal RNA", at positions 433 to 899 of the family's 2925-position model. The record is from RNAcentral.